UUAAAUUAUUUUAUUUUGUGUAAGCUAAAAGGAAAUUUACACACUUAAAUCUCAAAAGACCUUGGGCAUGCACAUUGACCUUUUUAGAGGUUCUUCUACAUAGCUCUCUUUUUUCCAUAGGAAUUUCCCCAGACAUUUACAACCCAUAGUUUUUUACUGUAUGUACAGCCUAAAACCAUAGCAAUCUAUGAUUAUGUCAUUUUACACUGUGCAAAAUCAAACAGGAAUAGUGGUACAACAGAACAUAAAAAUUUUUAAACAGGUAAAUUUCAUUGUAAGACAUUCAUAUAGUUUUGGUCCUUCUUUUCCAAAUCAAACUGAUUAAAAGCAGAUAACCUUCUAAUGACCCCUCCCAAAAUCAAGUAUUUAGACAGUGAUCCAUAACUGGAACAAGAAGUUACUGACAGCAUACCUUUCAAAAGGCUAUAAUAGUGACAGAGCCAUACUACUGAAGUUUAAGAACAUAAAAAUUGAUCAGCCAACCAAACAGGGGGAGGGGAUGGGGGAGAAAAAAAAGGAAGAAACACAUCUUAAGCUUGUUAAAAGACAAAAGAAAUUAUUGGGGUUUAAAAAAACAACAACAACUGAAAACCCACAAAGGGACAAUGUAACCUUUUGAUGUUUGGGUGGUUUUUUUUUUUUCCAGCAAUAAGUAUCUUAC
Athene cunicularia (burrowing owl) is the source of this 661-nucleotide long non-coding RNA. RefSeq lists it as uncharacterized. NCBI's taxonomy places the organism in Eukaryota, Metazoa, Chordata, Aves, Strigiformes, Strigidae. The record is from RefSeq and is a predicted model, not a curated record. The transcript is spliced from 3 exons.